AAAAUCAUUAAGAUGGUCUUAAAACAUUAUACUAAAGUACUUUCCCAUCUUUUCAGAUUUGAGAAGCUUUUACCUUUCUGCCUAAGUUGAUUCUUCUUAUUCGCUCUGCCAUACAUUGGAACCUUUUCCAAUGUCUCAUAAUUACACUUAAACUUGUAAGUGUAACCAAAUUUACUAAACUUUAGUAAAUCAUGAUGAAUAGUCUUAUCGAUCUUUUGUGGUGGACUUGAUCAGUGCACAAGAAUGUGUACUCGAUCCCUUAGUAAUUUACUUGACUCACACAUCCAUGUGAACAAGUAGUUUGUCUUAAUUUUUCCAAUGCUUGAAAGUUCUCAUUCAUCAUGCAAUACAACUUGCAUGAUUCCAAGUUUCUAUCCAACUGAAUCUUGGGUGAUGAGACUCUUUCCUUAUUUGGUAAAUUUAGACACUACCACAAAUGAAAGAAUCAAAUUCAUAUUUCCACUCUUGCUCUUAAUGGAAUCUUAUAAGAAACAAAAAUUUUCACAAAUGCCAUUGUAAGGAUAUUUUAAAAUAAAUAAAAUUUUUGCGGAAAAACAAUCCUUACAGUGCAAAAGCACAUGAAAACUUUAUUGUUAUCUAUUCCUAAGCAAUAUAUCAUAACUCCUAAGAAGUAGCUCAAGAAUCCGAUCUUCAAACUAUGCAAUAGAAAUCCAUCUACGCGAUCAGAUUCAACGUAUUCUUUAUUUAAGUUUCUUCACUUUUCUUUGAUUCUUAAAACAUCAACAUGUGACCUAGUCACACCAUUUAUCAAGAAUCUCAUAAUAGAAACUUUGCAUAGUUAGAUACUGGACUUUACCUAAAUUAGAGUCAAACUUAUUGACUUUAACAUCCUUAGGUAAAAUUGGCAGCUUCGCAACUAAUGCCCCUUCCUUUGGCAAUAUAAACAUAUGGACCCUUUGGUAAUGGUAUGCAGGACUAUCACAGACUUAGAUUUUCUCUUUACCAUUUGGUCAACCGAGUUGACUAUGGCCUAUCCCUUUCUAUUGGGAAGAGAAUGCUUUUUCUGGAUUUCCAGUGUCUUCAUUGUCAAUGUCCACAAAGUUUUAGGAAGUUGAUCUUAGCAAAUAGAUAAGAUCAUUAAGGGUCUUGUCAUAGUCUAUUUCAUAGGUGUCCCAAAGGAACUCACUAUGUGACUUAGAAAGUGAUUGAUCAUCAACUUCCUCUAGACUACAUCUCCAAGAUGUGAUCAUACAUAGACCUUUGCUUGUCAAUUGGGCUUGAGUGACCUUAAACUUUUCAAGAACUUGUAGGUUAGUGAGAAUAAUUGGAGGAGGUGAAGGAAGUAUGAUUUCCAUGGGACAUCAUCUUCAUUUAGGAAAGCUUGUUUCAAGACAUUUGGGAAGAUCAUAAAUGUCUAAACCAGACAUCUUUUGGGAGAUAUUCAAUAUAGUUGAUUUAAAGUCCUUAAUAUAACACCCAAUAUGAAAUAUUAAGGCUAGGACCCAACACUAUACUUUUAUAACUUGGAAGAGGGAUGCCGUAAUCAAAGUUACAAAAUAUUUAAAGGUAGGUGAAUGACGAUUCACCAAUUUCCACCAAGAUAAACGAAAUGUAUUAUUAGGUUUUAAUUGGUUUUCAAACUCCUAGAUUCUUUUGAGUUCCAUUGAACUUUUCAAUGGCAUGUUUCAAUCUCGAGUGUGCCCUUCAGGUUUUGUGACUUGGAUGCCGAGGAUCACAAAAAAGGUGUGAAGUAACCAUGCAAAUUACUUGGUACUCUUAAGUGUUUACCGCUCAAUCGAUGUGCCGGUCAAUCACACACGCUCCAUCGAUACUAUGAUAAACAUUAAGUUACCCUUUGCCUACCUUGUUAAAUCCAAGUUAGUGUGCCGGUUAACCACACACGCUCCACUAACCGACUUAAACAAUGUGCAAAGUGUAAUUUCAUGGAUUAGCACAUUAUUCACAUUUUCCUAAGUAACUAAGAUUGGGUAUUUAUAAAAGGUUUAAUUACUUAGUAUUUAUCAUUAAUACUUUUAAUGAAGGUAGAAUUAUAUUCAUUGUCCUACCCGUUCGGCUAAUGACCCUCCACCAGUCAAGGAAGCGGUGGGUGAGAGUGGACACUGAUUAAACUGCCAUUUUAUAGGCAGUAACCUUAUACCCCCCUUACAGACCAGCUUCGUGAAUGAGACCUACUAAUGGUAAGACUGACUUUACUCUUAUACAUAUAUAUAAAUAUUAUUAACUUAUAAUAUUAUAAAGUAUAAGGGUUGAAUUUUAACUUUUAAAAUUCUAAGGGAUAACUUGGAAUUAAUGUAUUCAUAAGUGAAACUUUUNAACUUGAGGGCAAGUUUUGAAACUAUUCAAAACUAAUUAAUUCCAUAACUUAUGUGUUUAAAGUAGUUUUAAUUAAAAGACUCUUCAAGUUCCAUAACUUGAGGACAAGUUAUGGAAGACUUUAAACUAAUAAAAGAAUGUAACUUUUCUUUAUUUUGUAACUUAUGGAAUUAUUUAAGGUUACACAUUUUAUUACUUAAUGAAGUGACUCUUGAACCUCCAUAACUUGAGGACAAGACUCUUCAAUUUUUGUAACCAUUGCCAACUUUUAUGAGUUUUAUGAAACUUAAAUGUGACUUUUCAUAUAAAUUGAGGACAAGUUACAAAAACACAUUUUAGAAUCAACUCUUAGAUUAAAAUGGAUUGUAAACACAUAAUCAAUUAACUUUUCUAUUAAUAUAAGCAACUCAUAUGAACAAAUAUAAUUCACAUCAAACUUUUUCAUGUAAUUAGCAUAAAUUUUAAAUGAAUACAAAACAUGAAUCUAUUGACUAUUAUCUUUGAAAUUGGAUUAGCAUGAACAUUACCACAUCAAAAACAAGUUUAUAAGGUCAAAAACGACUUAGGGUAAUGUUCCUAGUCCAAUUCCAGCCAAGAAACACGAAGAUAUGCUGUCUGGAGGCCAAAAUCGUCGAGUUCUUCAUCGAACUUGUCGAGUUCAUGCUCUAAUACAUGAACUCAUCUAGUUUUGUACCAAAACUCAUCGAGUUUUAGGUCCCGACAGACUCUUGGCUUCAAAAAAUCUAUUUGCAUCAAGUAUAAGAGAAAGCAAGCCUAGGCUCUGAUACCACUGUUGGGUUUUGAGCAUUCUAACACUCCUAAGUGUACAUGCAACCCUAAAUACCUUGGAUAUAUGUUUUCUCUAUUAUACAUGCAAAUAUGAACUUUCCAAGAUAUUCAUCCUAACUAGCAUAAUAACAUUGAUUCAUAUGAAUAUAUCAAGUUAGAAUUACAUACCUCUUUGAUAUAGAAUAUCUUCAUGAAGCCUGAGUGCCUAGUGAUCCAAGUGUGACACCUCAAAUGGUUCACACAACACCAAAUACACUUGGAAUAACUUGAGAGAAUAUACACACUUCAUGAGAAUCGGCUAGCCCUUUCACACAUAAUCUAGUGCUGAUUUUGUCAACAAUAAGAUGCUUACAUAGUUAGUGACAAUUAGGGUAAACCCUAAUGGUCAUGGCUUUCCAUUUCCUUGGAUCCAUGGGUACAAAUACACCAUGGAGCAUCCAUGGAGCUAUUGGGUUUUGAACAUUCUAACACUCCUAAGUGUACAUGCAACCCUAAAUACCUUGGAUCUAUGUUUUCUCUAUUAUACAUGCAAAUAAGAACUUCCAAGGUAUUAUCCUAAUCUAGCAUACAAAACAAUGAGUGUAACAAGAUAGAAUACAUACCUCUUUGAUGUAGAAAGUCUUCAUGAAGCUUGAGUGCCUAGUGCCCCAAGUGUGACACCUCAAAUGGUUCACACAACACCAAAUACACUUGGAAUAGAUUGAGAGAACAUACACACUUCAUGAAAUCGGCUAGCCCUUCUCUAGAAUGAUACUAGUGCGAAUUUUGGUCAAGAAUAAGAUGCAUAUAUAGUUAGGGUUACACCAUGUAAACCCUAAUUGACAUGGCCUUUCAUUUCCAUGAUCCAUGGGUACAAAUACACCAUGGAGCAUCCAUGGACCAUCCUAUGGGUUUUAGCCCAACUUGAUUAUCCAUGGAGCAUUAGCCCACUAUACAAGUAUGGAUGAUUUACACAAUCAACCCAUAUAUUUAAUUAGUCUUCUUUUGAUCACUUAAUUAAUCCUAGAUUAAUUCUUGAUCAAUACUAAUUAAAUAAUCUUAUUAUUCUUAUUAUUAAUAUACUAGAACUUAUAAUAUAUUAAUAACCAUAAGUGUCUUAUUUCUCUCAUUAUAGUCUAUCCAAGUGCAUGAUGCCAUGCAACCCAAAUGGACCAUGCCGGGUCGGGUCAAGUCUUACCAAUUAUAGUUAUGGACUUAGACAUUAAUCCAACAGUCUCCCACUUGGAUAAGUCUAAAACUAUUAUUGCGUAUGACUUCAGGAACCAACUGGCAAUCGUAGCUCUCAAAAGCUUCUGUCGAACUCUGACCUUGUAGAUGAACUCUGACCUUUGUCAAUGACUUGUCCAUUAGAUAAGGGAUCAUAUAUUCCUCCAUUCUAGAUAUCAUAUGGACUGAGACAUGGAUUAUAAUCAUUCUCUCUGUCCAUUUGUUGUUUCCCGAUUUCCGAUUUAUGACGACUGACUAAUUGAACAAAUCAAAUCAGUCCUGGCCCGGCCGAGCACUUCCAUUUGUCAUCAUCAAAUCAUCGAGGGGCCCACAGAUAUCGCUUUUAUCCCGAAGGUAAAAGGAAUGGAUAAACUUCGACUCAUAUGGCUUGUUCUACUACUUGUUGAAUCAUACACAAAGGCACGUUUUAUAGCACCGAGUUACCAAAUGCGUUUUCGUGCAAUCAAUGUACUAUCAACUCAUAGUAACAACUCAUAUCUCUAGGUUUGAAGAAUAUAAGAUAUUAUCGUCUCAUGAUCACUCGUGAUAAAAUCCAUGAAGUGAUUCCAAUGAGCGCGGGUUGAAUCCAAUACUCAGAACUUAUGAGCACUCAUGAGUGUUGUAGCCCUUUGUCCAACACCUUAGACCUCUACAAGCCAACCCAUGACAGUCUUAAUUCAUAUCUACUUCCAACAUAUGACCGACUGUGGAUGGUUUGAAUAACUUAGUCAUUCCGGAAGAAUAACCUAGUUUAUUCGGGAAGUCAAAACAUGCAAAGUGAAACACAAUAAUAAUUGAAUCCAAUAUGGUAUCAAAACUUUGAACAUAAAUAAAACACCUUUUAUUUAUCACCAUAUGAUUACACAUUAUUCAUUGUAUACUGUUUCAGCUAUCAACUUUAUUCUUGAAUUUAAAACAAUAGUUGUCCCAUGCUCCAAGCAUGUACACUAUGUUUUCUUAAACACUAGUCAUGCCACACACCAAGUAUGCAUACUAUGUUUGUCUAUGAUCUUUACUUUGUGAACUAGAUCAAUUGAACAUAACUUCAAUGAUUCUCUUUUCACACUCCCAAAUCCUUACUGCAAAUGCAAGAAUUCCAAAUUCAUGCCAUUUACUGAAAUCUGUUAGAUUCUAAACUUAUAUGCAUUGAUCCUCUUGUAAUGAUUAUGCACAAAGUCAGAAAGACUUGACAACAAUCAUUACAGAGUAUUCCAAAGGAGAUCAGCUCCUUGGAAACAUCCUUCUUGCAUUAAGUUUCCUAAUCUUAAACAGAUUGAAAAUUCUAACUUUGAAACAUUUCCAGAUUCCAUUUUGACUAUCACUUCUGAACAAGAGUUGCCUCCUUACAGAUUAUGUCAAUAUGGUCCUUCCAGAAUUAUCACUAUACUUCCAACUGUCCUUGAGCAACCAAUCUUUGGUAAACCUUAGAUUGUCCUCGACAAUUGUUUAAUCCUUUUAGUCAUAUCCAGUUCUAAACCUUUUCCCUUCUUAAUGCCCCAGGCAUUUGGAAAAUUUUAGAACGGAUGAAUAUAGCACAUGUAAUCGAUCCUAUAUCCGAAGCAUAUGGGACACGAUUCAUGAUGUCUUACAUAAAGACUAAACCAGUCUUUUGCUAUAAUAUUUCCAUUUCAAUUUGCCAAGUUCUCAUAAUUCAGAUUAUGAAAAGGGAUGCCGUAAUCAUAAUCGAAUUUUAGAACGCAAAUAAUGGACCCAUAUACAGAAUUUCCUUAUGUUGAGCCAUUCCAACAUGAAAUUCAUAUAUAUCCUUGACUAAAUGAUUAAAACCUCACGAUCUAAGCUUAUAGAUUUGAGAUGAAGUAUAAUUUCCUCUCCCUUAAUUAUAGCAAAACAACUUUUUCCCAAUUGAAACUUUUGUUUUCUAUAAUUAACAUUGCUAACUUGCAAUACUUAUCAUAAUUAUCAUGCUCCCACUAACAUGAUGAUUAUUAGCAUAACACUUAUGCUCCCACUAGCUUUGACAUGUACUCAGAAAUCAGCUGGACUUCUAGAAAUCAAUACUUCAUUGACUUUCUUACCAAAGUUCAGAUUUCUGAUGCUAGAUUGUUUUGAUAAAGCUUUAUCAAAAUCAUACACCUUCCCUUAGAUAGCACACUUGUGUAUCUAAACAAUUAUGAAGAGGGAUGCCGUAAUCAUAAUGUUUAGACCUUUUUGCCACUUCUCACAAGUCCAAAUUAGUGUGCCGGUUAACCACACGCGCUCCACUAACGACUUUGAGAAUGCAAAUAUCACAAUUGCUAUCUAGCUAAAAUCUACUUAGUGAAAGUGUUUCCUCACCAUCAUUUUCAUGAAUCGGAGAGAAACCUUAUGACACUUAGAUUUAAUGGUGUAUGUGUUCUUAUCCAUGUGAAUUGUCAAAACCAUAGUCACAAGACAAGGAUAAUGACAAAUCCAAACUCAUAUGGACUGAACUCAAUCUUAAUUUCUUGCCACCUGGCAGCUCAAGGGCCUGCCAUUGCUUCCAAGUUGUUGUGCAACAAAUUGAGAACUCUAAGAACUCAUAUGCAAAGCCAACUUUAACUGGAAUGGGCACAGAAUAUGUCAACACGAUAGGUUAUGAACCUCAAGUCGUGUGCUAGUGAAGAACUUCAGGUUUUAUUCUUGAUUAGUUCUUGAGACUUUCAAGACCUUUAAGACUCCCACUGUCCUCUUGACAUAUAAGACUCCCUUGUCAAACAUCCAAGAGAUAGUGCGGAUUCUAAUCAAGAAAAACACUUUACCCAAUUGGCCUAAGUUGGUCUUUGUUUUAUCCAAAACAUCACAACUUACCAAUUUCAAAUGUACAAGAGUAGAAAACUUUUACUCUUACAUUUGACAAGUGUUUUAAACCUUCUUUAAGACAUGUCACUCAAGUUACAAUCUUGGAAUUUGAAUCUAAGACUUGUAUUGGAACGAAGUAUGACUCAUCUUCUUGAUUUAACCACUUCAGCAAUUCAAGUUCCUCUUCUUAGUCAUAAGAAUGCACUAAGAUUUUCCUUAGAGACCUAAUUUUCAUAUGGUUUCUUAACCAUUAUGAUGAUCACAAAACUGAUACUAAAGUACUCUCCCAUCUUUUCAGAUAUGAGAAACUUUUAUCCUUCUUCCUAAUUUGAUUCUUCUUAUUCGCUCUGCCAUACAUUGGAACCUUUUCCAUUGUCUCAAAGUUACACUUAAGCUAAAAAGUAUAAUCAUAUUUACUGAGCUUUAGUAAACUAUGACGAAUAGUCUUAUCAAUCUUUUGUGGUGGACUUACUCAGUGCACAAGAAUGUGUACUCAAUCCCUUAGUCCUUUACUUGACUCACACAUCCACGUGACCAAGUAAUUAGUCUUAAUUUUUCCAAUACUUGAAAGUUAUCAUUCAUCAUGCUAUACAACUUGCAUGAUUCCAAGUUCCGGUCCAAUUGAAACUUGGGUGAUGAGAAUCUUUCCUUAUUUGGUAAAUUUAGACAUUACCACAAAUGAAAGAAUCAAUUUCAUAUUUCCACUCUUGCUAUUAACGGAAUCAUAUAAGCAAUAAUUUUUCCUCAAAUGCCAUUGUAAGGAUAUUUUAAAAUAAUUCAAAUCAAAAUUUUCCUUUUAUUUUUAAACUUUGCGGAAAACUUAUCCAUACAAUCCAUAUGAAAACUUGUUGUUAUCUAUUCCUAAGCAAUAUCUCAUAACUCCUAAGAAGUAGCUCAAGAAUCCGAUCUUCAAACUAUGCGAUAGAAAUCCAUCUACGCGAUCAGAUUCAGCAUAUUCUUUCUUUAAGUUUCUUCACUUUUCUUUGAUUCUUAAAACAUCACCAUGUGACCCAGUCACAUCAUGUAUCAAGAAUCUCAUAAUAGAAACUUAACAGAGUUAGAUAGUGGACUUUACCUGAAGUAGAGUCAAACUUAUUGACUUUAACAUCCUUAGGUAAAUUUGGCAGCUUCGCAACCAAUGCCCCUUUCUUUGGCAAUAUAAACAUAUGGACCCUUUGAUAAUGGUACACGGGACUAUCACAGACUUAGCUUUUCUCUUUACCAUUUGGUCAACCGAGUUGACUAUGGCCGAUCCCUUUCCAUUGGGAAGAGAAUGCUUUUCUGGAUUUCCUGUGUCACUAUUGUCAAUGUCCAUCAAGUUUUAAGGAAGUUGAUCUUAACAAAUAGAUAAGAUCAUUAAGGGUCUUGUCAUAGUCUGUUUCAUAGGUGUCCCAAAGGAACUCACUAUGUGACUUAGAAAGUGAUUGAACCACCAACUUUCUCAAGACUUUGACACCCAACUCUCCCGGCUUGUCAAUAUGUGACUACAUCUCCAAGAU
Molecule: long non-coding RNA, 8567 nt
Filed under: Lactuca sativa (garden lettuce)
Lineage: Eukaryota; Viridiplantae; Streptophyta; Magnoliopsida; Asterales; Asteraceae
Description: long non-coding RNA (LSAT_LNC002924)
Source: RNAcentral